GCAGACUCCUACGGGAGGCAGCAGUGGGGAAUAUUGCACAAUGGGGGGAACCCUGAUGCAGCGACGCCGCGUGGGUGAAGGAGUAUUUCGGUAUGUAAAGCCCUAUCAGCAGGGAAGAACAAUGACGGUACCUGACUAAGAAGCACCGGCUAAAUACGUGCCAGCAGCCGCGGUAAUACGUAGGGGGCAAGCGUUAUCCGGAUUUACUGGGUGUAAAGGGGGCGCAGACGGCGAUGCAAGCCAGGAGUGAAAGCCCGGGGCCCAACCCCGGGACUGCUCUUGGAACUGCGUGGCUGGAGUGCAGGAGGGGCAGGCGGAAUUCCUGGUGUAGCGGUGAAAUGCGUAGAUAUCAGGAGGAACACCGGUGGCGAAGGCGGCCUGCUGGACUGCAACUGACGUUGAGGCCCGAAAGCGUGGGGAGCAAACAGGAUUAGAUACCCGCGUAAG
RNAcentral lists this ribosomal RNA (447 nucleotides) under uncultured bacterium. RNAcentral's name for it is "partial 16S ribosomal RNA". It matches the Rfam family "Bacterial small subunit ribosomal RNA", at positions 331 to 793 of the family's 1533-position model. The record is from RNAcentral.